This 253-nucleotide ribosomal RNA is filed under the name uncultured bacterium. Its description in RNAcentral is "partial 16S ribosomal RNA". It matches the Rfam family "Bacterial small subunit ribosomal RNA", at positions 524 to 776 of the family's 1533-position model. The record is from RNAcentral.
GACGAACCGUGCGAACGUUAUUCGGAAUCAUUGGGCGUAAAGCGCGUGUAGGCGGUCCGGUAAGUCCGCUGUGAAAGUCGGGGGCUCAACCCUCGGAUGCCGGUGGAUACUGUCGGGCUUGAGUACGGAAGAGGCGAGUGGAAUUCCUGGUGUAGCGGUGAAAUGCGCAGAUAUCAGGAGGAACACCGGUGGCGAAGGCGGGUCUCUAGGCCGACACUGACGCUGAGGAGCGAAAGCGUGGGGAGCGAACAGG